This 393-nucleotide ribosomal RNA is filed under the name uncultured bacterium. RNAcentral's name for it is "partial 16S ribosomal RNA". It matches the Rfam family "Bacterial small subunit ribosomal RNA", at positions 523 to 918 of the family's 1533-position model. The record is from RNAcentral.
AUACGUAGGGGGCGAGCGUUAUCCGGAAUUAUUGGGCGUAAAGAGUACGUAGGUGGUUUCCUAAGCGAGGGGUUUAAGGCACUGGCUUAACCAAUGUUCGCCCCCCGAACUGGGAGACUUGAGUGCUGGAGAGGAAAGCGGAAUUCCUAGUGUAGCGGUGAAAUGCGUAGAUAUUAGGAGGAACACCAGUGGCGAAGGCGGCUUUCUGGACAGUAACUGACACUGAGGUACGAAAGUGUGGGGAGCAAACAGGAUUAGAUACCCUGGUAGUCCACACCGUAAACGAUGAGCACUAGGUGUCGGGGAGCAAUUCUUCGGUGCCGCAGUUAACGCAUUAAGUGCUCCGCCUGGGGAGUACGUACGCAAGUAUGAAACUCAAAUGAAUUGACGGGG